Molecule: ribosomal RNA, 492 nt
Filed under: uncultured bacterium
Lineage: Bacteria
Description: partial 16S ribosomal RNA
Rfam family: Bacterial small subunit ribosomal RNA
Source: RNAcentral
AUUGAGCGCUGGCGGCAUGCUUUACACAUGCAAGUCGAACGGUAACAGGCCUUCGGGUGCUGACGAGUGGCGAACGGGCGAGUAAUGCAUCGGAACGUACCCAGAGGUGGGGGAUAACGCAGCGAAAGCUGUGCUAAUACCGCAUGUGAUCUGAGGAUGAAAGUGGGGGACCGAGCAGCAAUGUUUGGCCUCGCGCCUUUGGAGCGGCCGAUGUCGGAUUAGCUAGUUGGUGGGGUAAAGGCCUACCAAGGCGACGAUCCGUAGCUGGUCUGAGAGGACGACCGGCCACACUGGAACUGAGACACGGCCCAGACUCCUACGGGAGGCAGCAGUGGGGAAUUUUGGACAAUGGGCGCAAGCCUGAUCCAGCAAUGCCGCGUGCGGGAAGAAGGCCUUCGGGUUGUAAACCGCUUUUGGCAGGAACGAAACGGUGUCCGCUAAUACCGGGCGCUAAUGACGGUACCUGCAGAAUAAGCACCGGCUAACUACGUG